GUUAAGCGACUAAGCGUACACGGUGGAUGCCCUGGCAGUCAGAGGCGAUGAAGGACGUGCUAAUCUGCGAAAAGCAACGGCGAGGUGAUAUGAACCUUUGACCCGUUGAUGUCCGAAUGGGGAAACCCAGUGCAAUCCGUUGCACUAUCGUUAGCUGAAUACAUAGGCUAACGAGGCGAACCGGGGGAACUGAAACAUCUAAGUACCCCGAGGAAAAGAAAUCAACCGAGAUUCCCCCAGUAGCGGCGAGCGAACGGGGAGCAGCCCAGAGCCUGAAUCAGCAUGUGUGUUAGUGGAACGGUCUGGAAAGGCCGGCGAUACAGGGUGACAGCCCCGUACACGAAAAUGCAUGUGUUGUGAGCUCGAUGAGUAGGGCGGGACACGUGGUAUCCUGUCUGAAUAUGGGGGGACCAUCCUCCAAGGCUAAAUACUCCUGACUGACCGAUAGUGAACCAGUACCGUGAGGGAAAGGCGAAAAGAACCCCGGCGAGGGGAGUGAAAAAGAACCUGAAACCGUGUACGUACAAGCAGUGGGAGCACUCUUUACGGGUGUGACUGCGUACCUUUUGUAUAAUGGGUCAGCGACUUAUAUUCUGUAGCAAGGUUAACCGUAUAGGGGAGCCGCAGGGAAACCGAGUCUUAACUGGGCGUUAAGUUGCAGGGUAUAGACCCGAAACCCGGUGAUCUAGCCAUGGGCAGGUUGAAGGUUGGGUAACACUAACUGGAGGACCGAACCGACUAAUGUUGAAAAAUUAGCGGAUGACCUGUGGCUGGGGGUGAAAGGCCAAUCAAACCGGGAGAUAGCUGGUUCUCCCCGAAAGCUAUUUAGGUAGCGCCUCGUGAACUCAUCUCCGGGGGUAGAGCACUGUUUCGGCUAGGGGGCCAUCCCGGCUUACCAACCCGAUGCAAACUGCGAAUACCGGAGAAUGUUAUCACGGGAGACACACGGCGGGUGCUAACGUCCGUCGUGAAGAGGGAAACAACCCAGACCGCCAGCUAAGGUCCCAAAGUCAUGGUUAAGUGGGAAACGAUGUGGGAAGGCCCAGACAGCCAGGAUGUUGGCUUAGAAGCAGCCAUCAUUUAAAGAAAGCGUAAUAGCUCACUGGUCGAGUCGGCCUGCGCGGAAGAUGUAACGGGGCUAAACCAUGCACCGAAGCUGCGGCAGCGACACUUAUGUGUUGUUGGGUAGGGGAGCGUUCUGUAAGCCGUUGAAGGUGUGCUGUGAGGCAUGCUGGAGGUAUCAGAAGUGCGAAUGCUGACAUAAGUAACGAUAAAGCGGGUGAAAAGCCCGCUCGCCGGAAGACCAAGGGUUCCUGUCCAACGUUAAUCGGGGCAGGGUGAGUCGACCCCUAAGGCGAGGCCGAAAGGCGUAGUCGAUGGGAAACAGGUUAAUAUUCCUGUACUUGGUGUUACUGCGAAGGGGGGACGGAGAAGGCUAUGUCAGCCGGGCGACGGUUGUCCCGGUUUAAGCAUGUAGGCUGGUUUUCCAGGCAAAUCCGGAAAAUCAAGGCUGAGGUGUGAUGACGAGGCACUACGGUGCUGAAGUGAUAAAUGCCCUGCUUCCAGGAAAAGCCUCUAAGCUCCAGGUAACACGAAAUCGUACCCCAAACCGACACAGGUGGUCAGGUAGAGAAUACCAAGGCGCUUGAGAGAACUCGGGUGAAGGAACUAGGCAAAAUGGUGCCGUAACUUCGGGAGAAGGCACGCUGGUGUGUAGGUGAAGCCCCUGCGGGUGGAGCUGAAACCAGUCGAAGAUACCAGCUGGCUGCAACUGUUUAUUAAAAACACAGCACUGUGCAAACACGAAAGUGGACGUAUACGGUGUGACGCCUGCCCGGUGCCGGAAGGUUAAUUGAUGGGGUCAGCGGCAACGCGAAGCUCUUGAUCGAAGCCCCGGUAAACGGCGGCCGUAACUAUAACGGUCCUAAGGUAGCGAAAUUCCUUGUCGGGUAAGUUCCGACCUGCACGAAUGGCGUAAUGAUGGCCAGGCUGUCUCCACCCGAGACUCAGUGAAAUUGAACUCGCUGUGAAGAUGCAGUGUACCCGCGGCAAGACGGAAAGACCCCGUGAACCUUUACUAUAGCUUGACACUGAACACUGGUCCUUGAUGUGUAGGAUAGGUGGGAGGCUUUGAAGCGUGGACGCCAGUCUGCGCGGAGCCGUCCUUGAAAUACCACCCUUUAAUGGCUGGUGUUCUAACGUGGACCCGUAAUCCGGGUUGCGGACAGUGUCUGGUGGGUAGUUUGACUGGGGCGGUCUCCUCCCAAAGAGUAACGGAGGAGCACGAAGGUCAGCUAAUCCUGGUCGGACAUCAGGAGGUUAGUGCAAUGGCAUAAGCUGGCUUGACUGCGAGCGUGACGGCGCGAGCAGGUGCGAAAGCAGGUCAUAGUGAUCCGGUGGUUCUGAAUGGAAGGGCCAUCGCUCAACGGAUAAAAGGUACUCCGGGGAUAACAGGCUGAUACCGCCCAAGAGUUCAUAUCGACGGCGGUGUUUGGCACCUCGAUGUCGGCUCAUCACAUCCUGGGGCUGAAGUAGGUCCCAAGGGUAUGGCUGUUCGCCAUUUAAAGUGGUACGCGAGCUGGGUUUAGAACGUCGUGAGACAGUUCGGUCCCUAUCUGCCGUGGGCGCUGGAGAAUUGAGGGGGGCUGCUCCUAGUACGAGAGGACCGGAGUGGACGCAUCACUGGUGUUCGGGUUGUCAUGCCAAUGGCACUGCCCGGUAGCUAAAUGCGGAAGAGAUAAGUGCUGAAAGCAUCUAAGCACGAAACUUGCCCCGAGAUGAGUUCUCCCUGACUCCUCGAGAGUCCUGAAGGAACGUUGAAGACGACGACGUUGAUAGGCCGGGUGUGUAAGCGCAGCGAUGCGUUGAGCUAACCGGUACUAAUGAACCGUGAGGCUUAACC
Molecule: ribosomal RNA, 2902 nt
Filed under: uncultured Enterobacter sp.
Lineage: Bacteria; Pseudomonadati; Pseudomonadota; Gammaproteobacteria; Enterobacterales; Enterobacteriaceae
Description: Bacterial large subunit ribosomal RNA
Rfam family: Bacterial large subunit ribosomal RNA
Source: RNAcentral